This 1579-nucleotide long non-coding RNA is filed under the name Vigna radiata. RNAcentral describes it as "long non-coding RNA (VRAD_LNC015211)". Lineage: Eukaryota; Viridiplantae; Streptophyta; Magnoliopsida; Fabales; Fabaceae. The record is from RNAcentral.
UGUCAUUCUAAGCCACAUCCUUAUCACUUAUGAGUAAAAUGUAUACGAAGGUUUUGGUCUUCUCUGAUUACAAUUGGUUUGUUACAGGCAGAAAUUAAGGAAAUGCAGAAAAACAAGGUAUAAUCUGUUUUGCAUAUGAAUCUCUUCCAAUAGAGAAUUAUUUUCACAGUUUGAAAGGAAAAUAAGCAUUAUUUAUUUGUUUAUCUUAGCAGGAUUCGGACCCUGCAUGCCACCCAAGGGUAAGUAAAAUACAAUGCUUGAGAAGGACACUUACAGGACCAUGGUAGUGAGUAAUUGUUUCUGAGUAACAGAUAUACGAAGGAGAAAGUCAUUGUUGUGUGAUAAGGACUGGGGUAUGUUUGUGAACUGUGAGGUAAUUGCAGUCCAACACUAGAUAGAGUGGUAGCUAGCUAUUAUUAGUUUUAUGUAUAGGAACUAGGAGUGGUGAGUUGUACAUUAUUAAACAUGUAUCGUCAAAUAAUGAAUUACAUGAGUUAAGUAUUGCUUUCCUUAUUUCUAUUAAUUUUUCUUGAAUUGAUUCUAGUUGAUUGUUCUCUGCUUUGAGUUUUGCAUAUCUGCUUAUUGAGUUUUCUUCAAUUUUUUGGCGUUGUUAAUUUUACUUUUCCUUUGAUGUAUUGAUAUGUUGUAAGCUNCGUUUUGUUUUCAAUCAUUGCUGUCUUGAGUUCUAUUUUGUGAUUUUGCUCAUAAAUUGUUUGUUUAAAUGUCUAAGAGAGCUAAUCUGAAAAUGUUCAUUCUUGAAUCAAGCCUAGCAUUCACGUUCCUCUUUUCAUUUCUUCUUCCUUGCCUAGAAGCCAUCAAAUCCUANGAAUCCAUUGUGCAAUGGGAGGUGAGAGGAAGCAAUUAUGUUUGGAGAGAAAUGGAAUUAUCAGAGUUAAGAAGGGAAUGAGUGGGAGAAGAAGUGGAAAUCACAGAAAGGAAAGGUAAAAAGAGUCUCAGGAGCUAACNAAAAUAGGAGAGGAAAACAAAGGCCAAGGUAUGGGCAAAGGAGUUAAGUAUUGUGCCUUGAUAUUUGAUAGUUCAGAUUUAAGUGUAAUGAAAUAAUGAUAGAUAUUGAAAUAUGGUGUGUGAGUGUUCAGAAAUCUUUUUUUUUNCAUUCCUCCUGAGAAAGUCUGUUGCAUGUAUCAAGUGUGCAAACUGGUUUUAAAAGUUGUUUAAGCAUAACUAUGGUGCAAUUACUGUUAUUAAGGUAUUGCUCAGCGGCUGUUUCUCUUUUUAUUUGUUUUCCNUCGUUAGCAAUUUAUGCAUGGCUACUUUCUUUAAAUAUGAAAGUGCUGGUAUAGAAUUUGUAACUUUGAUUUUCUCUCUGACUAUACCUACUGAUACUUUAACUACAUUGUUUUACCGUUAACUAGGGUGCACUACAGUAGCCAAACUUUGCCUAUUAUAUAAUUUAUGCUUAAAAGAACUGAAACUUCUGUACACGUUGACAUGGUCUAUUAAACAUGGGUAUUGUAAAAUAGAAAAUGCCUCCAUUGGCUGACUUGAUCAUGGAUUAUUUUAUGAGUAGUUACAAAGUGGAUUCUUUUCAUUGUUAAGUAGUGUUCUCUGUUCUUUGCAG